UGGGGGAGCAAACAGGAUUAGAUACCCUGGUAGUCGCUGUAAACGAUGUCGAUUUGGAGUUUGUUGCCUAGAGUGAUGGGCUCCGAAGCUAACGCGAUAAAUCGACCGCUGGGGAGUACGGCCGCAAGGUUAAAACUCAAAUGAAUUGACGGGGGCCCGCACAAGCGGUGGAGCAUGUGGUUUAAUUCGAUGCAACGCGAAGAACCUUACCUGGUCUUGACAUCCAUAGAAUUCUGCAGAGAUGUGGGAGUGCCUUCGGGAACUAUGAGACAGGUGCUGCAUGGCUGUCGUCAGCUCGUGUUGUGAAAUGUUGGGUUAAGUCCCGCAACGAGCGCAACCCUUAUUCUUUGUUGCCAGCGAUUUGGUCGGGAACUCAAAGGAGACUGCCGUUGAUAAAGCGGAGGAAGGUGGGGACGACGUCAAGUCAUCAUGGCCCUUACGACCAGGGCUACACACGUGCUACAAUGGCGUACACAAAGGGAAGCGAAGGUGCGAGCUGGAGCGGAUCUCAUAAAGUACGUCUAAGUUCGGAUUGGAGUCUGCAACUCGACUCCAUGAAGUCGGAAUCGCUAGUAAUCGUAGAUCAGAAUGCUACGGUGAAUACGUUCCCGGGCCUUGUACACACCGCCCGUCACACCAUGGGAGUGGGUUGCACCAGAAGUAGAUAGCUUAACCGCGAGGGGGGCGUUUACCACGGUGUGAUUCAUGACUGGGGUGAAGUCGUAACAAGGUAACCA
RNAcentral lists this ribosomal RNA (737 nucleotides) under uncultured Enterobacteriaceae bacterium. RNAcentral describes it as "bacterial SSU rRNA". It matches the Rfam family "Bacterial small subunit ribosomal RNA", at positions 761 to 1502 of the family's 1533-position model. The record is from RNAcentral. Lineage: Bacteria; Pseudomonadati; Pseudomonadota; Gammaproteobacteria; Enterobacterales; Enterobacteriaceae.